CGGUUGAUCCUGCCGGAGGUCACUGCUAUCGGAGUACGACUUAGCCAUGCGAGUCACAGGGGGGCAACCCACUGGCGGACGGCUCAGUAACACGUAGCUAACCUACCCUCGGGACGGGUACAACCCCGGGAAACUGGGGCUAAUGCCCGAUAGACACCGCUUCUGGAAAGAUCCGGUGUCCAAAGCCCCGGCGCCCGAGGAUGGGGCUGCGGCCGAUUAGGUUGUUGGCGGGGUAAAAGCCCACCAAGCCGACGAUCGGUACGGGCAGUGAGAGCUGUAGCCCGGAGAUGGGGACUGAGACAAGGCCCCAGGCCCUACGGGGCGCAGCAGGCGCGAAACCUUCACAAUGCUCGAAAGAGUGAUGAGGGUACUCCGAGUGCCUAUGCUUUGCAUAGGCUUUUCUCCAGCGUAAAUAGUUGGGGGAAUAAGGGCUGGGCAAGACCGGUGCCAGCCGCCGCGGUAACACCGGCAGCCCAAGUGGUGACCGUUUUUAUUGGGCCUAAAGCGUUCGUAGCCGGACAGGCAAGUCUUUGGGUAAAUCCUACGUCCCAAGCGUGGGAAUUCUAAAGAUACUACCUGUCUUGAGGCCGGAAGAGGCUGGAGGUACUUCUGGGGUAGGGGUAAAAU
This 627-nucleotide ribosomal RNA is filed under the name uncultured archaeon. Its description in RNAcentral is "bacterial SSU rRNA". It matches the Rfam family "Archaeal small subunit ribosomal RNA", at positions 5 to 638 of the family's 1478-position model. The record is from RNAcentral.